This 1179-nucleotide long non-coding RNA is filed under the name Zonotrichia albicollis (white-throated sparrow). Its description in RNAcentral is "lncRNA (ENSZALG00000017975.1)". The record is from RNAcentral. Lineage: Eukaryota; Metazoa; Chordata; Aves; Passeriformes; Passerellidae.
UGAACAUCUGCUUAAAAGUGUACUUAGGAAACUUUGGUCAGGUUUUUUCAUUAAAAUCAUGCACAUUUUGAAAUGCUGAUUGCAUUAGCAAGCACUUGCUGCUUUCAGAAUCAGAUUUACUUUAUGAAAAGCAGAUCAGGCAGUCUCUCUGCCCUCCAGCUUAUCUUGGGGGAUAGGAAAAAAAAAAGGUAAAUGAAAUCUGGUUCUCCAGCUUUCUUCAUGGAUUCAAUAACACAGAUGAGGAGAACAGCGAUGGAGGUUAUGCAGCUGCUGGCCCUGAUUAACUGAGCUCCAUCUGAAGAACCCCAGAAGUGCUGUUUGGAAGACAUCUCCGGAGGGCUCCAGUUCUGCAUCCCAUUGGUGGGUGCUGUCCACACUCAUGGCCCUGACCAGCCCCUCCUGGGGCCUCCCCUGCCCAUGGCCCUGGAACCCUGCUUCAAGCUGAGCUCACGUGCUGUUCACACGUGUGUCUGCACUUGGCCAAACCCUGCUCAGCCUAAACACCAGCUGGUCCUGCAGGCAUGAAGGGGCAACAGAAUUCCACUACUGAGUUUGGCAAAUCCUGAUAGCCAUACCCCUAGGUCAGUGUGCUCUUCAGAUUUGCUGAAGAAGGACUCUGGAAGGACUGUCCAAGCCAUGUGUGGGACCAGUGCAGGACCACAGGGGAGCAGGUACAAAUCUCUGCUUCAUUCAUUCUCAUCUUCCAGAUGGAGCUACUGAGCAAUUUCGUCCAGACAAUUUAACAGUCUUACCAAUGACAUCCAUCUUUCAAAUGAGAAUGCUCUUGGAGGAAGUACCUCAAGUCAAGUUUCAGACUGUGCUAGGAAAUGUGUGGCUGUCUGGACAUCAGUUUCCUGUGAAUCUGGAAGGCACUUGGUUGCUGUUGUGCAUAAUUUAUUUCCUGGCUGGCACUUGUAGCACUGAUGUGUAACCUGAAUAUGGCUCAUCACAUUUGCUCUGAGUGAAGGUGUGCCCUGAAAUGGCUACGGAGAGGUGAACCUGAGCGCAGAGCAGACUGACAGGGACCAGCAGCGCAGGAUGGGCCUUACAGGACCGGGACUCAUGAGCAGAAUGUGUGGAUGGAGCCCACUGGUGAGGUUCCUCAGUGGUCUGACACAUCUUGGAGCUUUCAAGGACUGUCAACAACAUUUCAAAAACAGAAGAAAAUGAGAUUUUGGC